CAAACGCUGGCGGCGUGCCUAACACAUGCAAGUCGAACGAAGCACGAUGGAAAGAGACUCGGUCAAUGGAAAUCGUGACUUAGUGGCGGACGGGUGAGUAAUGCAUGAGCAACCUGCCCUGGAGAGGGGGACAACAGCUGGAAACGGCUGCUAAUACCGCAUAAUGUCGUUGGAGGGCAUCCUUUGACGACCAAAGAUUUAUCGCUCUGGGAUGGGCUCAUGUCUGAUUAGUUAGUUGGCGGGGCAACGGCCCACCAAGACUACGAUCAGUAGCCGGACUGAGAGGUUGAACGGCCACAUUGGGACUGAGAUACGGCCCAGACUCCUACGGGAGGCAGCAGUGGGGAAUAUUGGGCAAUGGGCGCAAGCCUGAACCCCAGCAACGCCGCGUGAAGGAAGAAGGCUUUCGGGUUGUAAACUUCUUUUAUCAGGGACGAAGGAUGUGACGGUACCUGAUGAAUAAGCCACGGCUAACUACGUGCCAGCCGCUGC
This 492-nucleotide ribosomal RNA is filed under the name uncultured bacterium. RNAcentral's name for it is "bacterial SSU rRNA". It matches the Rfam family "Bacterial small subunit ribosomal RNA", at positions 30 to 518 of the family's 1533-position model. The record is from RNAcentral.